UCUAGUAACCUUGCUGGAGCCAGAUGAGAG
This 30-nucleotide non-coding RNA is filed under the name Rattus norvegicus (Norway rat). Lineage: Eukaryota; Metazoa; Chordata; Mammalia; Rodentia; Muridae. The record is from RNAcentral.